GAUGAACGCUGGCGGCGUGCCUGAUACAUGCAAGUCGAGCGAACGGACGAGAAGCUUGCUUCUCUGAUGUUAGCGGCGGACGGGUGAGUAACACGUGGAUAACCUACCUAUAAGACUGGGAUAACUUCGGGAAACCGGAGCUAAUACCGGAUAAUAUUUUGAACCGCAUGUUUCAAAAGUGAAAGACGGUCUUGCUGUCACUUAUAGAUGGAUCCGCGCUGCAUUAGCUAGUUGGUAAGGUAACGGCUUACCAAGGCAACGAUGCAUAGCCGACCUGAGAGGGUGAUCGGCCACACUGGAACUGAGACACGGUCCAGACUCCUACGGGAGGCAGCAGUAGGGAAUCUUCCGCAAUGGGCGAAAGCCUGACGGAGCAACGCCGCGUGAGUGAUGAAGGUCUUCGGAUCGUAAAACUCUGUUAUUAGGGAAGAACAUAUGUGUAAGUAACUGUGCACAUCUUGACGGUACCUAAUCAGAAAGCCACGGCUAACUACGUG
This 497-nucleotide ribosomal RNA is filed under the name uncultured bacterium. RNAcentral describes it as "partial 16S ribosomal RNA". It matches the Rfam family "Bacterial small subunit ribosomal RNA", at positions 28 to 507 of the family's 1533-position model. The record is from RNAcentral.